RNAcentral lists this ribosomal RNA (580 nucleotides) under uncultured bacterium. RNAcentral's name for it is "partial 16S ribosomal RNA". It matches the Rfam family "Bacterial small subunit ribosomal RNA", at positions 355 to 932 of the family's 1533-position model. The record is from RNAcentral.
UGGGGAAUUUUGGACAAUGGGCGAAAGCCUGAUCCAGCAAUGCCGCGUGUGUGAAGAAGGCCUUCGGGUUGUAAAGCACUUUUGUCCGGAAAGAAAUCCUUGGCUCUAAUACAGUCGGGGGAUGACGGUACCGGAAGAAUAAGCACCGGCUAACUACGUGCCAGCAGCCGCGGUAAUACGUAGGGUGCAAGCGUUAAUCGGAAUUACUGGGCGUAAAGCGUGCGCAGGCGGUUUGCUAAGACCGAUGUGAAAUCCCCGGGCUCAACCUGGGAACUGCAUUGGUGACUGGCAGGCUAGAGUAUGGCAGAGGGGGGUAGAAUUCCACGUGUAGCAGUGAAAUGCGUAGAGAUGUGGAGGAAUACCGAUGGCGAAGGCAGCCCCCUGGGCCAAUACUGACGCUCAUGCACGAAAGCGUGGGGAGCAAACAGGAUUAGAUACCCUGGUAGUCCACGCCCUAAACGAUGUCAACUAGUUGUUGGGGAUUCAUUUCCUUAGUAACGUAGCUAACGCGUGAAGUUGACCGCCUGGGGAGUACGGUCGCAAGAUUAAAACUUAAAGGAAAUUGACGGGGUCAUAGCUG